GUUAAGCUUAAGCAUUACAAGUCAGAUUUAAGGUUAGACAUUAGGGGUAGGUUAAAUGCUGAGUGAAUGCUCUCAUAGUGACAUCAGUCCUGAAAGAUGAAGCAUCUUCUGGUUUGUCUUCUCUCCUCUUUCUGGUCGAUCUCUUCUUGGGGUAUAACAAACACAGGGUUAGUGGUGAUACAGUCUCCUCAUUAUGUGACAGUAACUGAGGGGGAAACUGUUCACAUCCAGUGCUGCUGGAAUAAAAAUUUGACGAGGGUCACAGUUAAUUGGAAGAACAAUGCAGCAAAUACGUAUGAGCUUGUCAAUAAGAGUCAGUGUCAGAAGAGCGCUUCUGAACAGAACGUAUCCUGUUGUUCAAAUCUGACCAUCUCAAACCUGAAUAGAAGUGACUCCGGGACAUACACCUGUAAAGUAUCUUCAGAGAUACCAGUUCUUCAACAGUCUGUGGGGAAUGGGACACAUCUUACAGUAACUUCAAAAAAUGAUGGAAUCAGUGGUGACCUACAUAACAAUCUGCAUUGGUCUAUCAUUGCUCUUCUGGUUCUCCUGCCUCCCCCAUUACUCCUGGCCCUCCUCUACCUGUACAGAGUGAAAAGAAAACAAGGUCAAACAGUCUUCUGACAUGUUUAUCUUUAUAUGUAUAGUAAACUUUUGUGCUCAUGAAACAGUU
Molecule: long non-coding RNA, 673 nt
Organism: Esox lucius (northern pike)
Lineage: Eukaryota; Metazoa; Chordata; Actinopteri; Esociformes; Esocidae
Source: Ensembl